Molecule: long non-coding RNA, 614 nt
Organism: Rhineura floridana
Lineage: Eukaryota; Metazoa; Chordata; Lepidosauria; Squamata; Rhineuridae
Exons: 2
Source: RefSeq, a predicted model, not a curated record
CCCUCUUCUGCCUGACCUUCUGCUGGUGAUGGGAGGAGUAUCCUGUUCACUGUCUGUGUCUGGCUGAAGGGCUUCAGCUGUGUCUGGGGUGCUCUGCAGCUGAGGGGGAGAAGGAGCUGGGUUCUCAGGAGUUUCCUCCAUUUCUCCUUCUGGGUCUGCUGCUGUUACUCCUGAGUCAUCCUCAUCUGAUAAAUCCUCUGACGGGGCCAUGACAACCCCUUUGGAGUUGGUGGCUUUACUUCUAACAGCAGCACACUUGGAAAUCAUGCUACAUUGAAAGAUUGGGGCUAAUUUCACUACAAAAGGGUGCUUGAACCAAAGAUGGGCCAUCACUGUCUCUGAAGUCUAACCCAGCAUAACAAGACUGUUAAAGAAACUUCAAAAAAAGAGCAUUUCAAAACUGUAUCGUACCAAUUCCUAUGUUAGGCAAAUAAGAUUUUACAGCUGACCAGCCACCCUUUAUCCCAUAUUACACUGUGGAGAGGCCUGGGGCACUCUGGGAGGAGUGCUGAAUGCUGAUCUGGAAAAUGAGGAGCAUCUUGCCGUAUUCGUAUGUUGCCAAUUUUAUCCUUGUAUUUUAACAAAUAUUAAAUAAAAAUUAACAUUUGUAUUUA